This 253-nucleotide ribosomal RNA is filed under the name uncultured bacterium. RNAcentral describes it as "partial 16S ribosomal RNA". It matches the Rfam family "Bacterial small subunit ribosomal RNA", at positions 524 to 776 of the family's 1533-position model. The record is from RNAcentral.
GACAGAGGGUGCAACCGUUGCUCGGAAUUACUGGGCGUAAAGGGCUCGUAGGUGGCCAACUAAGUCAGACGUGAAAUCCCUCGGCUUAACCGGGGAACUGCGUCUGAUACUGGAUGGCUUGAGUUCGGGAGAGGGAUGCGGAAUUCCAGGUGUAGCGGUGAAAUGCGUAGAUAUCUGGAGGAACACCGGUGGCGAAGGCGGCAUCCUGGACCGAUACUGACGCUGAGGAGCGAAAGCCAGGGGAGCAAACGGG